UUUUAGAUACAUUUUUAGGUCCUCUAAGGAUACUGAGGAAUUAUAUACGAAUGAUGUUCAUAUUUGGAUAUUAUUUGUGAAGUUGUUAUUGGUGCUUGAUGUUAUUAAUUAUGUGCUAAAUUGUUUUAGCAGUUUAUAGGGAGCACUCGAAGCCUAAUGCUUUUGAAAUUUUAUGUUUUGCUUUGGAAAUGAUUUUCACCGACGUCAAGCUUUAAAAUAUGAAAGCAUUGUUUUAGCAGGUUUUGAAAUGGAAAUGAAUUUCAAUAUCUGGAAUCAAAUGUCUUGAACUUGCUCAAACAAAGAAACAUGGUAAAACCUGCAUUGGUUUUCAUUUUUCAUAGUGUUAAGUGUAUGUUAUAAAGGAUUUUGAAGCUAAAACAUCAGACCUUGUUUCUGAACAAUUC
RNAcentral lists this long non-coding RNA (404 nucleotides) under Durio zibethinus. RNAcentral's name for it is "long non-coding RNA (DZIB_LNC000254)". The record is from RNAcentral. Lineage: Eukaryota; Viridiplantae; Streptophyta; Magnoliopsida; Malvales; Malvaceae.